Molecule: small nucleolar RNA, 64 nt
Organism: Podarcis muralis (Common wall lizard)
Lineage: Eukaryota; Metazoa; Chordata; Lepidosauria; Squamata; Lacertidae
Gene: SNORD42
Rfam family: Small nucleolar RNA SNORD42
About the family: snoRNA U42 is found in intron 3 of the ribosomal protein L23a (RPL23a) gene in humans and is also present in mice. U42 is a member of the C/D class of snoRNA which contain C (UGAUGA) and D (CUGA) box motifs.
Source: Ensembl
GUGCAAAUGAUGGAAACAUUAUCGACUGAAGAAAGUGAUGCUUUCAAAGGAACCACUGAUGCAC